RNAcentral lists this ribosomal RNA (253 nucleotides) under uncultured bacterium. Its description in RNAcentral is "partial 16S ribosomal RNA". It matches the Rfam family "Bacterial small subunit ribosomal RNA", at positions 524 to 776 of the family's 1533-position model. The record is from RNAcentral.
UACGUAGGGUCCGAGCGUUGUCCGGAAUUAUUGGGCGUAAAGAGCUCGUAGGCGGUUUGUCGCGUCUGCUGUGAAAUCCCGAGGCUCAACCUCGGGCCUGCAGUGGGUACGGGCAGACUGGAGUGCGGUAGGGGAGAAUGGAAUUCCUGGUGUAGCGGUGGAAUGCGCAGAUAUCAGGAGGAACACCGAUGGCGAAGGCAGGUCUCUGGGCCACUACUGACGCUGAGAAGCGAAAGCAUGGGGAGCGAACAGG